RNAcentral lists this ribosomal RNA (253 nucleotides) under uncultured bacterium. Its description in RNAcentral is "partial 16S ribosomal RNA". It matches the Rfam family "Bacterial small subunit ribosomal RNA", at positions 524 to 776 of the family's 1533-position model. The record is from RNAcentral.
UACGGAGGGAGCUAGCGUUGUUCGGAAUUACUGGGCGUAAAGCGCGCGUAGGCGGCUUUGUAAGUUAGAGGUGAAAGCCCGGAGCUCAACUCCGGAGCUGCCUUUAAGACUGCAUCGCUUGAAUCCGGGAGAGGUGAGUGGAAUUCCGAGUGUAGAGGUGAAAUUCGUAGAUAUUCGGAAGAACACCAGUGGCGAAGGCGGCUCACUGGACCGGUAUUGACGCUGAGGUGCGAAAGCGUGGGGAGCAAACAGG